UACGUAGGUGGCAAGCGUUGUCCGGAAUUACUGGGCGUAAAGGGCGCGUAGGCGGUGCCUCAAGUCAGGCGUGAAAGCCCCGGGCUCAACCUGGGAACCGCGCUUGAGACUGGAGUACUAGAGUUCGGGAGAGGAUGGUGGAAUUCCCAGUGUAGAGGUGAAAUUCGUAGAUAUUGGGAAGAACACCAGUGGCGAAGGCGGCUCACUGGCCCGGUACUGACGCUCAGGUGCGAAAGCGUGGGGAGCAAACGGG
Molecule: ribosomal RNA, 253 nt
Filed under: uncultured bacterium
Lineage: Bacteria
Description: partial 16S ribosomal RNA
Rfam family: Bacterial small subunit ribosomal RNA
Source: RNAcentral